UACGUAGGGUGCGAGCGUUAAUCGGAAUUACUGGGCGUAAAGCGCGUGUAGGCGGCUUCGUAAGUCCGUUGUGAAAGUCCAGGGCUCAACCCUGGAAUGCCGAUGGAUACUGCGGAGCUAGAGUCCGGAAGAGGCGAGUGGAAUUCCUGGUGUAGCGGUGAAAUGCGCAGAUAUCAGGAGGAACACCAAUGGCGAAGGCAGCUCGCUGGGACGGUACUGACGCUGAGACGCGAAAGCGUGGGGAGCAAACAGG
This 253-nucleotide ribosomal RNA is filed under the name uncultured bacterium. RNAcentral's name for it is "partial 16S ribosomal RNA". It matches the Rfam family "Bacterial small subunit ribosomal RNA", at positions 524 to 776 of the family's 1533-position model. The record is from RNAcentral.